UACGUAGGGGGCAAGCGUUGUCCGGAAUCAUUGGGCGUAAAGCGCGUGUAGGCGGCCAGGUAAGUCCGUUCUGAAAGCCCGGGGCUCAACCCCGGGAGGCGGAUGGAUACUGCUUGGCUCGAGUCCGGAAGAGGUGAGUGGAAUUCCCGGUGUAGCGGUGAAAUGCGUAGAUAUCAGGAGGAACACCUGUGGUGUAGACAGCUUACUGGACCACUUCUGACGCUGAGACACGAAAGCGUGGGUAGCAAACAGG
RNAcentral lists this ribosomal RNA (253 nucleotides) under uncultured bacterium. Its description in RNAcentral is "partial 16S ribosomal RNA". It matches the Rfam family "Bacterial small subunit ribosomal RNA", at positions 524 to 776 of the family's 1533-position model. The record is from RNAcentral.